AGUCGACGAGUCGCCGCAAGGCGGCUAGUGGCAGACGGGUGAGUAAUGGUAAGGAAUCUACCCCAAAGUGGAGGACAUCUCGUCGAAAGACGGGGUAAUCCUGCAUAAUACCGCAAGGUUAAAGGGCGUAACUGCCCGCUUUGGGAGGAGCCUUACUCCUAUCAGCUAGUUGGUAGGGUAAUGGCCUACCAAGGCUAUGACGGGUAGCUGGUGUGAGAGCAUGACCAGCCACAAUGGCACUGAGAUACGGGCCAUACACCUACGGGUGGCAGCAACCAGGAAUAGUCGACAAUGGACGAAAGUCUGAUCGCGCGACGCCGCGUGAGGGAUGAAGCCCUUCGGGGUGUAAACCUCUUUUGCCUCGCUAUCGAGGCGGGGCGAAUAAGCACCUACUAACUACGUGCCAGCAGUCGCGGUAAUACGUAGGGUGCAAGCGUUAUCCGGAUUUACUGGGCGUAAAGUGUCGCGUAGGCGGUUUACUGCAUCUUACUUCAAAUAUCUCGACUUAAUCGGGAUUCGGGUAAGAGAUGGGUAGGCUUUGAGACUCGGUGGAGUUUCCGGAACUUCCGGUGUAGCAGUGAAAUGCGUUGAUAUCGGAAGGAACACCAAGAGCGAAGGCAGGAAACUAAUCGAAGUCUGACGCUGAGGCACGACAGCUAGGGGAGCGAAGCAGAUUAGAGACCUGCGUAGUCCUAGCCGUAAACGCAUCCCUGCUAGAUGCUUUGAAUUAUAUCACGGUGUCGUAAGUUAACACGUUAAGCAGGGCGCCUGGGGAGUACGGUCGCAAGGCUAAAACUCAAAGGAGUUGGCGGGACCCGCACAACCGGUGGAGCAUGUGGUUUAAUUCGAGACGAAACGAAAGACCUCACCACGGUUGGACAUGCUAUCGUACA
RNAcentral lists this ribosomal RNA (893 nucleotides) under uncultured bacterium. Its description in RNAcentral is "bacterial SSU rRNA". It matches the Rfam family "Bacterial small subunit ribosomal RNA", at positions 60 to 997 of the family's 1533-position model. The record is from RNAcentral.